Molecule: long non-coding RNA, 1563 nt
Organism: Homo sapiens (human)
Lineage: Eukaryota; Metazoa; Chordata; Mammalia; Primates; Hominidae
Source: Ensembl
GAACUGUGAGAAAAUACAUUUCUGUUGCUUAAGUCACCCAGUUUGUGGCAUUUUGUCAUGGCAGUCUGAGCAGACUAAUACGAUGAACUUGCAUUUGGGUUGCUGCUACUCAUAAUGGCUGGCAUUUGUAUAGCACUUUGCAAGGAACUCAUAAAUGUCACAUCAGGCUGCCUCUUGGUGAAUUUUUAAUCAACGGGGAGAAUUUCAGCUACAAAUAGACCAAGAAUCAAGAGGCCCACUAUUGAUCGGUCAAAGUGGCACUUAUGAACCUGAGGUUGAAGCAGUUUGGAUAAAAGGAUUCUGGGCUUUCGAUGGCCCCAGAGACAUCUUUUUCCAUCAAGUCCAGGCUUGCUGAUCGGUACAGCUGAGAACAUGUUGAAUUUGAUGUGCCUGUGGAUAUUUGAGUCUGGAACAUUGAAGACAAGUUUGGUCUGGAGAUGUAGACUGGGGAUAUCUCAGCACACAGAUGAUAACUGAAAUGAUGGAGCGGAUGAUAUAAACUGGAGAGAGUCUGGUGUGGGAAGAGUCUUCCCUGAGGUGGCCGAAAGAUGUAAUUCUUACUCCAAAGACUGAAAUAGAGACAAGAGAAGCUGAAGUUACAGGGUUUUGUCAUUGGGAAGACAGUAGAGUGUGUCAUAUCCCAAGAGUGAAGCAAGGACAAACCAAAGAACAACUGGGAAGAUCUGGGAGAAAAAGGGAGAGGAGAGCCUGACGUUUCAAGAACUCAAGGUUCAGUACUAGGUCUUAGAGGAAGACUUCAUUUUAGCUUUGAUGCUCUCCGCUAGGCACAGAGAAACUUAAGCAGAAUGACAAGACCUGCUGUUUGAGUAACUCACGUUCUGACCAGAGAGACAGACAUGUCAGCAAGAGGUUACAAUACAGUGUGCUCAGAUUCUCCGGGACUUGGAGCACUUGUUCCAGAAAGGAAGGCCAGGGAAGUCUUCCAGGAGUAGAUGGCGCCUCUGCUGACCUGAAGGGUGAGGAAAAAGUGUCCAGUUGCAGAAGAAAUGAUGCAACUGAGUCACAGAGAAGUUAAGUAAUCUGCCUGCCGACACUCGGGUCGAUGCCGCCUCAUUCCAUCACUCGGGCAAUGGAGCCAAAGGCCACGUUCACAACCACUAGGCUGUCCCAGCCCCUUGCUUCAAAGAUAGCCAGGCAGGAGUUAUUUUAUAGAAUGGAAGUAAUUUCUACGGGGCCAAGCAAUAAUAAGGAAAUUGGAAGUCAAGGACUAUCUUCCGAAUGGAGAAGAAGCUCCAUCAACCACAGAAGGAAAUUAUGAUCACUCCUGCCAUCCUGCUCCUUUGUGUAUCCAGGAUGAAGGGGAGAAUUGGAGUCUUGCACAAUGAAAGGACAACAUUGCUGCCAAAACAAUCCAUCGUGACUGUAGACAUAUUUUCCACCCUCAUCCUGCAGGUUUUCUGCCAGUUGUUGGCCCCUCACCAAUUUUGCUCCUGGGCAGUCUGAGGUGGAACAUAAUUUUGUAUAAAACAAAUUAUGCUCAACCUCACUUAUAAUCAGGGAAAUGUGAGUCAAAACCACAAUAAAAUAUCACCUCAUGCUGUU